CUCAGACCUUUCUACCUGUCAG
This 22-nucleotide microRNA is filed under the name Mus musculus (house mouse). Its description in RNAcentral is "mmu-miR-3097-3p". The record is from miRBase by way of RNAcentral. Lineage: Eukaryota; Metazoa; Chordata; Mammalia; Rodentia; Muridae.